GGGAGACCUACUAACUAGGGAUGACAAUUCUACCCGCACCCAAUGGGUUCCCCGCAUCCCCGCCCCUACGGGUUUUAAAAUACCCGCACAAUUUGGAUAAUGGGUGCGGGUAUGGGG
Ipomoea nil (Japanese morning glory) is the source of this 117-nucleotide long non-coding RNA. RefSeq lists it as uncharacterized. The record is from RefSeq and is a predicted model, not a curated record. NCBI's taxonomy places the organism in Eukaryota, Viridiplantae, Streptophyta, Magnoliopsida, Solanales, Convolvulaceae. The transcript is spliced from 3 exons.